This 404-nucleotide ribosomal RNA is filed under the name uncultured eukaryote. RNAcentral's name for it is "partial 18S ribosomal RNA". It matches the Rfam family "Eukaryotic small subunit ribosomal RNA", at positions 142 to 549 of the family's 1831-position model. The record is from RNAcentral.
GAUUUUCGUUGUUAGUUUGGUACUAAUUCGAUCUUAAAAUUCCUUCUUUGGAAAGGACGUAUUUGCUUUUUUAAAAAUCAAUUCCCUUUAGGCCUCCCUGGCGAUUCAUUAUUAGUUCUUCAAUAGCAUUGCCUUGAUCCGGGGAUGGUUCAUUCAAAAUUUUUUCCUCUCAACUUUUUUUGUUUGGGGGUUGGGCGAACAUCGUUGCUACAAGUAAUGGAGGGGUAGGGCUUGUCCCCUGCGGAGGAGCCUGAGAAAAAGCUACUACCUCCAACGAAGGCAGCAGGCGGGCCAAUUAUCCCAUCCCCCCACGGGGGGGUAGUGGCAACAAAUAAUGAUACACGGGUGCUUUUGGUCUUGGAAUUGGAAUGAGGACAAUUUAAAUCCCUUAACGAGGAACAAUU